Brassica oleracea var. oleracea is the source of this 818-nucleotide long non-coding RNA. RefSeq lists it as uncharacterized. The record is from RefSeq and is a predicted model, not a curated record. Lineage: Eukaryota; Viridiplantae; Streptophyta; Magnoliopsida; Brassicales; Brassicaceae. The transcript is spliced from 3 exons.
UGUAACUUCUAAUCUGAGAAAAAGGAAGUGGAGUAGCGGAAGAGACGAUCAAUAGUUUAGCGCAGUGGUCAUCAUCGCAAACUCCGCUCGGCUUAUGAUCCCUGAAACCAAAGUUGAAUCAUUGCCGAUGAGGCCCGCGGGUUAGUGUUUCUGAUACUUUGAAGGCGAUUACGAAUCUGCUUGUCGAUGGUGGAGAUGAUCGUUUCCGGUGACUUGAAGACUUGUUGGUGAAGUCUAGAGUUACGCUCAGUCCAAAUCCAGUAGACGGUGGCUUGUACAACUAACAGAGUAAGUCGGCGAGAGUCUCUAUUCGUGCUUAGGGCCUGCAGUUGAUUUAUGGUGUCGUCCCAAGAGGAGAGUGGCGGAAGCUGGCAUCUAGUAGCAAUCCGAGUCCAGAUGCGAUUGCUGUAGGAACAUCCAAAGAAAAGGGCAUCGGUCAAGCACUACCAGCCAAGUGAGAAAACUGUGGCGAGGAAUACCAUAAGAGAACCACAAAAUCUUCGCCCAUGGGACAGGAGGUCGGACCCCCUGAGGGUCACAGUAGUCAAGUGAAUCUGCACAGCGAGGUGAUUCUCAGUUCUGGCUGGGGGGAGGCGCCAGGCUCCUUCACUGAAAAGAGAUGCGACUGUCGCUGCUCUUGAAAUGCCUAACCGGGAGGAGUUAGCAUUGAGAUAAGUAUAUAGAUUCCCGAGAGGAGACCAGUUGUCAAACCAGAACCGAGUAGUCGCUCCAUUUCCAAGUCUUCUUUUCAACAGCGCCAGGCUCCUUCACUGAAAAGAAAUCACUACAAGAAAACAGGGGGAUUCUGAUGGCCGAAA